GUGAGCCAGUACAGGAUGGACCCGCGUCUGAUUAGCUAGUUGGUAAGGUAACGGCUUACCAAGGCGACGAUCAGUAGCCGACCUGAGAGGGUGAUCGGCCACAUUGGAACUGAGACACGGUCCAAACUCCUACGGGAGGCAGCAGUGGGGAAUAUUGCACAAUGGGCGAAAGCCUGAUGCAGCAACGCCGCGUGAGGGAUGAAGGCCUUCGGGUCGUAAAACUCUGUCCUCAAGGAAGAUAAUGACGGUACUUGAGGAGGAAGCCCCGGCUAACUACGGGCCAGCAGCCGCGGUAAUACGGAGGGGGCUAGCGUUAUCCGGAUUUACUGGGCGUAAAGGGUGCGUAGGCGGUCUUUCAAGUCAGGAGUGAAAGGCUACGGCUCAACCGUAGUAAGCUCUUGAAACU
Molecule: ribosomal RNA, 406 nt
Filed under: Clostridioides difficile
Lineage: Bacteria; Bacillati; Bacillota; Clostridia; Peptostreptococcales; Peptostreptococcaceae
Description: bacterial SSU rRNA
Rfam family: Bacterial small subunit ribosomal RNA
Source: RNAcentral